This 583-nucleotide long non-coding RNA is filed under the name Homo sapiens (human). RNAcentral describes it as "HSALNT0187062". Lineage: Eukaryota; Metazoa; Chordata; Mammalia; Primates; Hominidae. The record is from RNAcentral.
GUUGAUUUACCCGUAAAUCCCAAAAAGAAGUAGUGAGUUCAAUAAAGCUUAAAAUCUUGUGAUAGUCACAUAACACUAAAGACAAAGUAAGUUAGAGGACUAGAUUGUUUUAAAGAAUAAAUUAAUAUUUUACUAACUUCCAAGACAUAUUUGAUUAGGAUUUUGACUAAGAUGGGAUACUUUUCCCUGGGAGAUGAAUAUCUUUGAAGUGGGAAUGGUAAUAUUUUCACAUCAAUUUGUUUUCAAUUCAUCAGCAUCUCAAGCUGGGAAGCUGGAAGUCACAGUACUCUAUUGAGAGAGGGAAACAUUUAGUAACAUAUGGAAAUAUUAAGAGGGUAUGAAUGUCUACGUGUGGUAACUCAGCUAACUGCUUUUGGUUGGUCAGGUCGGGUUUUAUUUCAGAUAUUUUAAUGCCAUAUUCAAUUGAGCCAACUGCUGUACUCUAAACCAUUUGCUAAAAAUGUCUGAAUCACUGCAUAAAUAUGUUUUUGGUUUUGGACUAAGAGGAAAGAACAUGAGUUUCACAAAAUCUCCAUUUGUCAUGUUUUUAGGUGAAGACAGCUAUGCUGUAGUGAAAGGAGCU